GACGAACGCUGGCGGCGUGCUUAACACAUGCAAGUCGAACGGAAAGGCCCUGCUUUUGUGGGGUGCUCGAGUGGCGAACGGGUGAGUAACACGUGAGUAACCUGCCCUUGACUUUGGGAUAACUUCAGGAAACUGGGGCUAAUACCGGAUAGGAGCUCCUGCUGCAUGGUGGGGGUUGGAAAGUUUCGGCGGUUGGGGAUGGACUCGCGGCUUAUCAGCUUGUUGGUGGGGUAGUGGCUUACCAAGGCUUUGACGGGUAGCCGGCCUGAGAGGGUGACCGGCCACAUUGGGACUGAGAUACGGCCCAGACUCCUACGGGAGGCAGCAGUGGGGAAUAUUGCACAAUGGGCGGAAGCCUGAUGCAGCAACGCCGCGUGCGGGAUGACGGCCUUCGGGUUGUAAACCGCUUUCGCCUGUGACGAAGCGUGAGUGACGGUAAUGGGUAAAGAAGCACCGGCUAACUACGUGCCAGCAGCCGCGGUGAUACGUAGGGUGCGAGCGUUGUCCGGAUUUAUUGGGCGUAAAGGGCUCGUAGGUGGUUGAUCGCGUCGGAAGUGUAAUCUUGGGGCUUAACCCUGAGCGUGCUUUCGAUACGGGUUGACUUGAGGAAGGUAGGGGAGGAUGGAAUUCCUGGUGGAGCGGUGGAAUGCGCAGAUAUCAGGAGGAACACCAGUGGCGAAGGCGGUUCUCUGGGCCUUUCCUGACGCUGAGGAGCGAAAGCGUGGGGAGCGAACAGGCUUAGAUACCCUGGUAGUCCACGCUGUAAACGGUGGGUACUAGGUGUGGGGUCCAUUCCACGGGUUCCGUGCCGUAGCUAACGCUUUAAGUACCCCGCCUGGGGAGUACGGCCGCAAGGCUAAAACUCAAAGGAAUUGACGGGGCCCCGCACAAGCGGCGGAGCAUGCGGAUUAAUUCGAUGCAACGCGUAGAACCUUACCUGGGUUUGACAUGGAUCGGGAGUGCUCAGAGAUGGGUGUGCCUCUUUUGGGGUCGGUUCACAGGUGGUGCAUGGCUGUCGUCAGCUCGUGUCGUGAGAUGUUGGGUUAAGUCCCGCAACGAGCGCAACCCUUGUUCACUGUUGCCAGCACGUUAUGGUGGGGACUCAGUGGAGACCGCCGGGGUCAACUCGGAGGAAGGUGGGGAUGACGUCAAGUCAUCAUGCCCCUUAUGUCCAGGGCUUCACGCAUGCUACAAUGGCUGGUACAGAGAGUGGCGAGCCUGUGAGGGUGAGCGAAUCUCGGAAAGCCGGUCUCAGUUCGGAUUGGGGUCUGCAACCCGACCUCAUGAAGUCGGAGUCGCUAGUAAUCGCAGAUCAGCAACGCUGCGGUGAAUACGUUCCCGGGGCU
RNAcentral lists this ribosomal RNA (1346 nucleotides) under uncultured bacterium. RNAcentral's name for it is "partial 16S ribosomal RNA". It matches the Rfam family "Bacterial small subunit ribosomal RNA", at positions 28 to 1381 of the family's 1533-position model. The record is from RNAcentral.